This 77-nucleotide transfer RNA is filed under the name Mus caroli (Ryukyu mouse). RNAcentral's name for it is "tRNA-Lys (CTT) (tRNA-Lys-CTT-7-1)". It matches the Rfam family "tRNA". Rfam says of the family: Transfer RNA (tRNA) molecules are approximately 80 nucleotides in length. Their secondary structure includes four short double-helical elements and three loops (D, anti-codon, and T loops). The record is from RNAcentral. Lineage: Eukaryota; Metazoa; Chordata; Mammalia; Rodentia; Muridae.
GCCUGGCUAGCUCAGUUGGUAGAGCAUGAGACUCUUAAUCUCAGGGUCAUGUGUUUGAGCCCCAUGUUGGUUUGGCA